This 468-nucleotide ribosomal RNA is filed under the name uncultured bacterium. RNAcentral's name for it is "partial 16S ribosomal RNA". It matches the Rfam family "Bacterial small subunit ribosomal RNA", at positions 28 to 507 of the family's 1533-position model. The record is from RNAcentral.
GACGAACGCUGGCGGCGUGCUUAACACAUGCAAGUCGAACGGAAAGGCCCUGCUUUUGUGGGGUGCUCGAGUGGCGAACGGGUGAGUAACACGUGAGUAACCUGCCCUUGACUUUGGGAUAACUUCAGGAAACUGGGGCUAAUACCGGAUAGGAGCUCCUGCUGCAUGGUGGGGGUUGGAAAGUUUCGGCGGUUGGGGAUGGACUCGCGGCUUAUCAGCUUGUUGGUGGGGUAGUGGCUUACCAAGGCUUUGACGGGUAGCCGGCCUGAGAGGGUGACCGGCCACAUUGGGACUGAGAUGCGGCCCAGACUCCUACGGGAGGCAGCAGUGGGGAAUAUUGCACAAUGGGCGGAAGCCUGAUGCAGCAACGCCGCGUGCGGGAUGACGGCCUUCGGGGUGGAAACCGCUUUCGCCUGUGACGAAGCGUGAGUGACGGUAAUGGGUAAAGAAGCACCGGCUAACUACGUG